This 132-nucleotide microRNA precursor is filed under the name Oryza brachyantha (malo sina). Its description in RNAcentral is "MIR812 microRNA precursor family". It matches the Rfam family "MIR812 microRNA precursor family", at positions 37 to 169 of the family's 205-position model. Lineage: Eukaryota; Viridiplantae; Streptophyta; Magnoliopsida; Poales; Poaceae. The record is from Rfam by way of RNAcentral.
ACUCUUCGUCUUAUUUAAAUUUUGUUGUGAUUAAUAUUACUAUUGUUACUAGUGAUAAAAUAUGGAAUAGUACUUUAUGCGUGACUAAUUUUUUUAUGUUUUUAUACAAAAUUUUCAAAUAAGACGAAUGGU